GCCACAGCCAGAUCACCCUGCAGCCCGAGAGCGGUUACUCACUCACUGAAGCUGAGCAGGGCUGAGGCUGGUCAGUGUCUGGAUGUGAGAGCACAUGGGAACACUAGGCUGCUGUUGGCA
Molecule: ribosomal RNA, 120 nt
Filed under: Danio rerio (zebrafish)
Lineage: Eukaryota; Metazoa; Chordata; Actinopteri; Cypriniformes; Danionidae
Source: RNAcentral